UAGGGAAUCUUCGGCAAUGGACGGAAGUCUGACCGAGCAACGCCGCGUGAGUGAAGAAGGUUUUCGGAUCGUAAAGCCCUGUUGUUAGAGAAGAACGUUGGUAGGAGUGGAAAAUCUACCAAGUGACGGUAACUAACCAGAAAGGGACGGCUAACUACGUGCCAGCAGCCGCGGUAAUACGUAGGUCCCGAGCGUUGUCCGGAUUUAUUGGGCGUAAAGCGAGCGCAGGCGGUUCUUUAAGUCUGAAGUUAAAGGCAGUGGCUUAACCAUUGUACGCUUUGGGAACUGGAGGAGUUGGGUGCAGGAGGGGGGAGUGGAAUUCCAUGUGUAGCGGUGAAAUGCGUAGGUAUAUGGAGGGACACCGGUGGCGAAAGCGGCUCUCUGGGCUGUAACUGACGCUGAGGCUCGAAAGCGUGGGGAGCAAACAGG
This 429-nucleotide ribosomal RNA is filed under the name Bacillota bacterium. RNAcentral's name for it is "Firmicutes bacterium partial 16S ribosomal RNA". It matches the Rfam family "Bacterial small subunit ribosomal RNA", at positions 355 to 776 of the family's 1533-position model. The record is from RNAcentral. Lineage: Bacteria; Bacillati; Bacillota.